Molecule: long non-coding RNA, 1486 nt
Organism: Pygocentrus nattereri (red-bellied piranha)
Lineage: Eukaryota; Metazoa; Chordata; Actinopteri; Characiformes; Serrasalmidae
Source: Ensembl
AUGCAGUACAGGACAGCCAGUCAGACCAGGGCUCAUGUAAUAGCCUUAAAGGCACAGUAAUUAUGUUUAAUUCUAGCCUUUUAGUUCUAAGUUUGUUAGGGGCAGUUCUUCUCCCUUUGGGAUGCCUACAAACGCUAAAGCUCGAAAGCGAGAAGUGCAAGUAACAACAGAAACGUCCAGGAUCUCAACCAACAGAAGAGCUGCGUGAGUUAGUAAGGCUCACUUAUACGUACCUAUAUACUUAGAAAUACCCAUAAAAGCACAAAUUCAUCAACAUUUGAGCUACAUAAGUACAUCCCGCUGAGUAAAUCUGAGUUUGGUGCCACCUCUGUUUGAUGUGUGAUGGAUUUGUCCGCGGGGGCGGAGCUACGUCUCAGCGCCGUUAUAAACCGCCACCGUGUGGCUGAAGAUCUUCAUGAACUCAAAGCAGGAAAGAGAGAAACUCAGCAUCGCGCAGCAGGAUUAAAACGAGGAGCACCAAGGAGGCGUUUUUCUGCUGGAUGUACAGCUCCAGUGACUGUGACCUGAGGACACUGUGAAGUCCAGAUUUCAAUACACUUGUUAUUUUUAGUUUUAGAGCAGAAUUUAUUAAUGGAAAAAAAAUCUUACGCUGGUUUUUGGAACAAGUUACUGUCCCACUGAACCCUGUAACCUCGCUGAGCGGAGCCCUUCAGACUGCAGUCCACUCUGUUCUACAGUUAAUGGAUCCAGAUCACAGAGGAGACCUCAGCACAGCUGGAAUCAAGGCUGCUAUUUCCUCAUGUGCUAUUGUUUUUGAGACGGAAUAAUAUCACAGAAAAAAAAUCUGGCAUCUUAGUGAAUAACACACUUAUAAUGUUUAUAUAAAGUAUACAGUGAUAUGUUAAAUAAUCUACAUGGUUAGAAAUAAAGGUGCUGUGCUGGAAAAUCUUUCGUUCAUCAAGGUUUCAGCAAAGUAAAUGUUCCCUCAAAGGUACAGCAGUAGUUUAAGGUCCAAUUGUGUACCUUAAAUAAGUUUUUUUCUCCCAUGUGAAAAGUACAUAUUUGCACCUUUGCAUAACCUAAUGUUUUAAUACCUUUAUUUCUGAGAGUGUAGUUACCUGGCUGCCUUAAAAUUCGGUGUUAACUGAACUUCAAACAAUACAUUUAUAGAGCGUAAAACAGAUUUUUGUCCUGUUAGUUAAUAAAGUUCUGUUAAAUCAAAGUUUUAAAGCAGCCUGGUUUUUACCUUUUCAAGCUAAAGCACCAUUUGUAUUAUAGUGCAGUUAGAUUUGUGUUCUGUAUUUUAACAUUUUCUUUACCCAGCUAUAAUCAGAAGAGUAAACUGUUUUUUAUUUUAAAAAGCUGACUUUUAUGAUGUAGAGAAAUAUAGGAGGUUCGAUUAAAACUCUAUGAAAUGUUCACACCACCACUCUUUAUUUUUUUCUGUAUUUUUAUUGUUCUGUCUUUCAGUUCACCUCUUUUGUUCUUUCAAAGAGAGAAAAAGAAGAACAGAAUUAGCCUGCGA